This is a long non-coding RNA of Rhinolophus ferrumequinum (greater horseshoe bat), 1897 nucleotides long. RefSeq lists it as uncharacterized. The transcript is spliced from 6 exons. Lineage: Eukaryota; Metazoa; Chordata; Mammalia; Chiroptera; Rhinolophidae. The record is from RefSeq and is a predicted model, not a curated record.
GGCGACGGCAGCCGGCCCCGCCCCACCGCCCCGCUGCUCCCAGGCCUUGCCGCGCGGGCGGGAGGAGGCGCCUGCUGCCGUGGCCUCCAGGAGGAACGCACCCUCGGGCGGGGACGUGGAGGAAUGGGGUCCGGAACGGCAAGGGACCCGUCUCACCCGUAGGUUCGCUGCCUCGUUCAGGAAGCCGGGCGGGUUAGCGCUAGUUUCAUAGUUCGUGGCUGGCCUCAGAUCACGAGGUUGUCGUGCAUUUGACAGCAGGAGGUAGGACUGGGUCACUGGCUCCGGGAUGAGCAGAAAAGGGGGAGAGAUCGGCCAUCACAGCCUGACAAGACCUCGGGCCGUCUGCUGGAGAUCCAGAGGUCCCGCAAGGGCGUGGGCCCGCUCCGUGCCCAGCAGCUGGUCGGUGGAAUAGACUACGUGCAGGCUGUCACUCCACGACUUGCUUCAGGACAGAGGCCGUCUUGCUGUCCUGAGGUCUCCGUCCCAAGGUGGGCAUCCGCUGGGUGAGCCUAGGCGGCGUCUCAGUUCUGGAGAGAGGAGAACCAGGGGGACAGGUGCUGCCUGCCCCUCCCAACAGCCCGCGGGCCUGUCAGCUGGAACAGGUGUGGCCCUGAGCGGUGUCCUCCCAGGAAGACCUGCAGGCUCCUAAAAUCAUUUUGGUCGGGAUGUCGGUGUUGAAAGCAGUCUUGUGUGCUCAGCCGUGAAUUUCCUUUAGUAGUAACCAACCUGUCCGGAAGUUUCCCCGAUGACAUCCGCAGCCCGUUCACACGCGUGUUGUGAGGGUGGCAUGUAUCACACACUGUGCUGUUACAAUAAAGUGAGCCAUGUUUAUUUACAAGCCUUGAGAUUCCGUGCAUUGACGAGGAAGCAGCCAGAACAGUGCUUCACAGCAGCCUGGCCUGCACACGCGUGCAUGCGUGUAAAAUGUGCACUGUGCAUACUGGUCACACUCAUGCACUAUGGGAAACUCCCGCUUUUAUGAAAUUUACCUAUGGCGACCGGCUGACACGCAGUUUCCAGUUGGGAGAGUCAUUCUGUGCAGUGUUAUUCUCUGGAAGCAGUUAUAAAGCAUAAGAAAACUAACUUUGCUUUUACGUAUUACUCACCUUACGCCUGUGAGGACAGGCUGUCUGCUUGUGUUCAAGUCGCGCACAUGAUGUUCCAAGCGAAGGAUCUAAAGGCUACUUGGGUGAUGACACAGCGACAUGGCUGACAAGCUUAUUAGCUGGCAGGGGACGGGGUCGCGGAGGUCUUCGAGUUGAGGGAGGGAGCGGGUUGGUCUUGCUCUCUCGGGGGGGCCUAAGGAGGGCUCGGUGUAAUGACAUACGGGUGUGAUUAAGGAACACAGGGAAUGUUGAAAAUGACUGCAGUCGAAACGCGUUGCCAUUAAUCUUCCUCAAAGAACAUUGUAAUUGAACAGCGAUGGCAUCUGCGGUGGUGUCACCCUCCAGACUUACAUGGAGACCGUGUGUAGCCGGCCUCACAGGUCCCUGGGACCCCUGCUCUGGAGAGGGUGUGGGGGACACGUAGCCAGACCUUUCUGACGCCUUUGUGUUGGGUUCGUGGGUUCUGGGGGCCAGGGGCACGGCCCACGUGAGAAGGCCUUUAAAAAGCAGUUUCUUAGAGGCGAGGCAUUAGACUUCCGACUGGGGACAAAGCAUUGAUGGAACGAAUCCAGAAAAGGGUUCUCGUCCCCACCGUGUACGACCACCACUGGUAGCUGGUGUUUCCCCUUCAAGGUUCAGGUGAGCCUUACAGAUGAGGGCUGGGCCCACGAACCCGACCGCGUUUGCAUAACAGCCCGUCUGCCUUAAAUCGUGGUGCUCACUUCUCUGCCUUGCUAAUGUCCUCUGUGACUUGGCGCUGCGUUAAAAGUCUAUUGAGGCAGAUCUUAAUG